UGCAAGUCGAACGAUAUAGUGGCAGACGGGUGAGUAACGCGUGGGAACGUACCUUUCGCUAAGGAAUAGCUCCGGGAAACUGGUGGUAAUACCUUAUACGCCCUUAGGGGGAAAGAUUUAUCGGCGAAAGAUCGGCCCGCGUUGGAUUAGCUAGUUGGUGAGGUAAUGGCUCACAAAGGCGACGAUCCAUAGCUGGUCUGAGAGGAUGAUCAGCCACACUGGGACUGAGACACGGCCCAGACUCCUACGGGAGGCAGCAGUGGGGAAUCUUGCACAAUGGGCGAAAGCCUGAUGCAGCCAUGCCGCGUGAAUGAUGAAGGCCUUAGGGUUGUAAAAUUCUUUCGUCAGGGAUGAUAAUGACCGUACCUGAAGAAGAAGCCCCGGCUAACUUCGUGCCAGCAGCCGCGGUAAUACGAAGGGGGCUAGCGUUGUUCGGAAUUACUGGGCGUAAAGCGCACGUAGGCGGACUUUUAAGUCAGGUGUGAAAUCCCGGGGCUCAACCUCGGAACUGCAUUUGAAACUGGAAGUCUUGAGAUCAGGAGAGGUUAGCGGAAUACCGAGUGUAGAGGUGAAAUUCGUAGAUAUUCGGUGGAACACCAGUGGCGAAGGCGGCUAACUGGACUGAUACUGACGCUGAGGUGCGAAAGUGUGGGGAGCAAACAGGAUUAGAUACCCUGGUAGUCCACACCGUAAACGAUGAGAGCUAGUUGUUGGCAGGCAUGCCUGUCGGUGACGCAGUUAACACAUUAAGCUCUCCGCCUGGGGAGUACGGCCGCAAGGUUAAAACUCAAAGGAAUUGACGGGGACUCGCACAAGCGGUGGAACAUGUGGUUUAAUUCGAUGCUACGCGAAAAACCUUACCAGGCCUUGACAUGUUGGUUAUAUCGUGAAGAGAUUC
Molecule: ribosomal RNA, 898 nt
Filed under: uncultured Alphaproteobacteria bacterium
Lineage: Bacteria; Pseudomonadati; Pseudomonadota; Alphaproteobacteria
Description: bacterial SSU rRNA
Rfam family: Bacterial small subunit ribosomal RNA
Source: RNAcentral